AGCCAUGUAUCAAAAAAAGCUUCAGCUUUGGGUUGUUGAUUUAGCAGCAUCAAUCAUUAAUUGUUCUGCUAUAUAUGUUCUUAACCAUGACAACCUGAUUAGGCUCUUAGUUUAUUAUGGUCUUUGUUCUGGGUGGAUCUCUGACUAUUCUGGGUGGGCAUGAAUCUCUUCUUUGUUUCUUCAUCUCCUCUUAUUCUGAUUCCUGCGUUUGUUUUAUGUGAAGGUUGCUCCGAUGAGGACAAGCUGCUUCUGCAGGUGGACGGGCCCUCAAGGCUGCUCUGCCUAUUCCUCCUGCUACCCCCACAUGUGGUGAGCCCCACCCGUUCUCGAGCUACCCCUGCAAAUCUGAUGUGAUGUGCACAAAAUACUUGCAAUUGUUCUCGACACAAGAGCAUGUCAUGUAUUGUUCUAUUUGAAUGUGCAAUUUCAUUACUUCUGUGUUGUUUGAUGCUUGCUUCACAAGAGGGAAAUCAUGGAUAUAAACUGCGCUUCCUUUCAAGUUGAAUAGUAAUGAUCACCAUUUGGUUCCAUUUUCUCCUCUGCAUCCAGUGUUCACUCUCUCAUAGAUGUCCAUAUAUACACAGUUCUGAUCUCCUUUUUUCUGCGGCUCCAUACAGCGAACACAAAGCCGUCGAUGCAUUGAGGGCUCAAUGUCGUCUCCGCCGGCUGAGCGGCAAGCCGGUGUUGGGCCUGCACACCGUCUAUCAGCACCCUCCCGUGUCUCCAUUCACGGAUCUGCAGGUCAACCCCUCUUCUCCUCCUAUCCAUGCAUCUUCUUGUCCAGAGCUGGGUGUAUGGUUGCAUGGCAAUUUGUGUUUUGGGGCUUACCAUGUUCUGCUUGCCCUGGUUGGCCAAUGAGGCUUUCCUUUUCUGGUAAAGGGCAAAUGUACUAUUCUCUAUGCUUUAUAUUUUUGUAGUUCCUUUGUUUCCAUGCUUGUUUUUUGAUGGGGUGUAAAUAUAUGCUUUUUUUUCCUUGUCUGGAUUCAGGUAGGGCCUAACAUUAUUGUUCCUUUGUGCAUGGAAAUGUUGGUGGUUUUGUUCCUUUGUGUAUGGAAGGGGGCCUUGAUUAGAAUUUCUACUGUUUGAGUUGUAAUUAGUGUUUUUGUUACACAUGAAAACAUAUGGUUGUUUGUCCAAUCACAUAUGAAAAAGAGAGGAUUGUUUGUGCAACAAUUUUCUUUCUCUGUGAUAGUUUUACUAGAAAUAAAGCAUAGUCACUAUUACAUCCUAUUUUAUAUCUUGUUGUGUCGUGAUAUCUGUAUAGACUCUGUCUACGUCCUUUUGACAUUCCAAGUUUUGUUUUUCUAUGGCUCAAUUAGUUACCCCGUAUCAAGAGAAAUUUAAUUGGUAUUUGCGGUAGAGUUAGCUGAAUUCAUGAAGCAAUGAUUUAGUUAUUAUUAAAGCUGAAACACAACAUGUUUUGACAAAUGCGUUCUAAGUAAAGCCUCCAACUAACAUAACCAAAAACAUAUUCUUUAGGUUUAUCAUCUAUUGAAGUAUUAUGUAGAAUUUAAAAUCAUAUGAGGCAAAGCAAAUGAGCUCUAUGCACUUUCCAUGUAGCACAGAACAAAAAUAAUCAUAUAUAUUUUGGAUGCACCUAGAUAUACUCAUCAGCAAGGCUGAGGUUAUAGGGCACUCACCCACAUUGUCGAUAUCUCAAUCACUAUGAUCACCCACAUGAUGGACAAUUCCCUUCUUUCUUUUCUCUGUGGCUAUUGACACUUAAUGCUAUUACUGUGUGCAUAUAUGUACUGUGAUCCAUUCUCAUUCUUCAUAUCUUGAGAAACUAUCUCAAGAUACUCGCAUUUGUGUUUUGGAGAAAGCCUAUUCUAUGAUUAAUAUAUCGAGUAUGGAUGGAGCGAUAUCACCUCUCUUUAUGAUGAUGUUCUUACAGAAUAUAGGUUUUAUGGUAACAAGUCUUAGCCAACACCUAUACUGAUGCUCAGACCAGAUGAUUAUAGUCUCUCCUUGCUAUUUUUCUUGAGGUGUGUACAUCUAUCUAGACAAUUUAAUUAAAAUAUAUAUUCCAUACAAACCAUCAAUACAUGUUAGUUGACUUUGAAACUAAUCAGUAAAAAGGUUGUCCCUUUCGCAUUUUAUGGACAUAAAGAUUUGGUGUUGACUGUCGAUCUUUAGUUAACACAUGACCUUACAACCGUAGGGAGUGGGAAAAAACUUAUAUGUUUGGCACAUUUGAAGAACCUAUCAUAGUAACAAAGUUUUGGUAAACAAUGUCCUAGAUCUCAACCAUAUAGAAAUACUAAAUAUAUGUUUAUUUGUAUAUGGAUUAAUUAUACAGACUUAUAAAACCUUGUGCAGGGCACAUAAAAGAAAUUUGAAAUAACUAUUAUUUCAAUAUUUGCUUUUUCAGUUGAGCAUAAUAGUUUAUAGCCUGAUAGGCUUGGACAUAAUUGUCUACAUGUACUGCUCAGUAGGCGACAUCCUUUGGGAAAUUGAGGAUGUCCUCGUGCAUUUUCUAAAUACAAUUGUGGCAGAUCUGAGGAAGGAGGGGAGGAAUAAUCUCGCGGGAGAGUUCGGUGUAGUGGAAGAAGAACAAGAUAUUAUUUAUUUCUUGUGAACAGUCAAGCUUGUGCAUUGUCCCACUGUAAGUUAUUUCAACAAUAGUAGUAACUGUUAUCUCUGGCCAUCUGUCGCGACAUUUUCUUUAACCACCAAUGCAUAUUUAUUUUCUUGUUAAUAACUCUCAUAAUUGCCUGCUACUGUUUCAGUUCUGGGGCCAGGCAACCUUGAAUCCAACGUCCACCUGCAGGCUACAUCUCAGGUAGGAUAAAAAGAUUGCAGUGAACUUGAUGGGUAUAUCAUUAUUGUUGCCUCCUAAUUUGUGUGAUGAGCAAAUGUGUAGAUUGUGUGUAAAUCCGAGAUGCCUAAAACGGUUGGGAAGUGAACUUGUUACCUCGGUUCAGUUUAAUGGCAUGUUAAACUCGAUGCACUUUCUGGACUAUGACAUUUUUCCUGAAAUUUUGGAAGUGACUGCUAAUGUAGUCUAAAUAGAGUGACUGAGUAGUUACUUUCUCACAAGAGUUGACUUCCCGUUAUUACUACUUGCUAAGAUGGAUUGGUGGUUUUUAUGUUAGAUGAAAAAUAUUACAUCAAUCUUUACGGCUUUUUAUGGGCAAGUGAUUCCGACUCCAUAAUAAGGAAUAAUAUAGCCCCAGUGCUGUGAUAAUGUUAAAACAUUUACCUCUUUUAUCGGUUCAAGUUAUGUAUUUGCUGCGAAAAAAUGGUCUUAUAUCAAAUAAUAGCCUAGAGCUUUUGGAGUGUUAUUACUUGUAUUUGUUGCUUGGAUGUAUAAACCUUCAGCAGACUGUCAGUUUUGCUUUUAUAUAAUCUGUUUGUUUAAGUCUUUUGCAUUAUCAACUUUUAACUUUUGUCAUUUGUUAACACAUUCCUUUUGCAUUAUCAACUUUUAACUAUUGUCAUUUGUUAACAUGAUUAUUUAGCAUGUUCACUAUGCGAGUAGUAAUAAUAGGAGAUAUUUAUUUGCCAGAUAACUAACACUAUUCAUAAGGCAUGAGGGUUAGAAAAAGAACUGUAUUCUUGCUGUGAUGAUUUUCGUAUGGCACACUAUGGAUUCUUUGUAUAACACAUACUGUCGAUCAACAUGUGUUUACAACGCAGGGAGGAGCCGGGCGACAAGGCAGUCAGACCAAACUCUCUAUCCAUAUAUAUAGGUAGUCUGAUGUUAUGCCAUAGCCGAACCAUAUAUGUUUCGUGUACUGCUCUAUCAAUCUGGUCUUUUUGUAUAUUAGACUCUAUCCAUUGUAAUGAACUUAUUGUCAUGGGCGAUCAUUAUGACUGGAUCGUAUGGUAUGAAUCGGGUCUUUAUGCUUUGUGAUGAAAUAUAAUAUUAUCCUGUUCACCA
Molecule: long non-coding RNA, 3883 nt
Filed under: Triticum aestivum (bread wheat)
Lineage: Eukaryota; Viridiplantae; Streptophyta; Magnoliopsida; Poales; Poaceae
Description: long non-coding RNA (TAES_LNC002200)
Source: RNAcentral